Molecule: transfer RNA, 64 nt
Filed under: Amblyomma gervaisi
Lineage: Eukaryota; Metazoa; Arthropoda; Arachnida; Ixodida; Ixodidae
Description: tRNA-Thr
Source: RNAcentral
GUUUAAAUAAUUUAAUUAAAAAUGUUGAUUUUGUAAAUCAAUAUUGACAAUAAGUCUUUAAACA